CAGUCGCCGCGGUAAUACGUAGGGUGCGAGCGUUAAUCGGAAUUACUGGGCGUAAAGCGUGCGCAGGCGGUUGUGUAAGACAGGUGUGAAAUCCCCGGGCUUAACCUGGGAACUGCGCUUGUGACUGCACAGCUAGAGUAUGGCAGAGGGGGGUGGAAUUCCACGUGUAGCAGUGAAAUGCGUAGAGAUGUGGAGGAACACCGAUGGCGAAGGCAGCCCCCUGGGCCAAUACUGACGCUCAUGCACGAAAGCGUGGGGAGCGAACAGGAUUAGAUACCCCGGUAGUCCCUGUCUCUUAUAC
RNAcentral lists this ribosomal RNA (301 nucleotides) under uncultured bacterium. RNAcentral's name for it is "partial 16S ribosomal RNA". It matches the Rfam family "Bacterial small subunit ribosomal RNA", at positions 509 to 807 of the family's 1533-position model. The record is from RNAcentral.